RNAcentral lists this ribosomal RNA (301 nucleotides) under uncultured bacterium. Its description in RNAcentral is "partial 16S ribosomal RNA". It matches the Rfam family "Bacterial small subunit ribosomal RNA", at positions 509 to 808 of the family's 1533-position model. The record is from RNAcentral.
CAGCCGCCGCGGAAUACAGAGGGUGCGAGCGUUAAUCGGAUUUACUGGGCGUAAAGCGUGCGUAGGCGGCUUCUUAAGUCGGAUGUGAAAUCCCUGAGCUUAACUUAGGAAUUGCAUUCGAUACUGGGAAGCUAGAGUAUGGGAGAGGAUGGUAGAAUUCCAGGUGUAGCGGUGAAAUGCGUAGAGAUCUGGAGGAAUACCGAUGGCGAAGGCAGCCAUCUGGCCUAAUACUGACGCUGAGGUACGAAAGCAUGGGGAGCAAACAGGAUUAGAUACCCCCGUAGUCCCUGUCUCUUAUACA